Molecule: non-coding RNA, 185 nt
Submitted as: unclassified sequences
Source: Rfam
AUCAGACCGACUUGGAAACAACUCGAGACGAAGAAAAGGGGGGAAGAUAGGUUAGAGAACGGAAGGUGAAAGCUCUAGAAAACAGCUAGCAAAAAAAGUUUUUUAGACCACCAAGGUUGGAAGAGAAACCAGCUAAGGAGCUAAGCAGAAUCUCGGUUUAGACACUUUCGAACUCGAACUAAAGA